AUUGAACGCUGGCGGCAGGCCUAACACAUGCAAGUCGAGCGGAUGAAGGGAGCUUGCUCCUGGAUUCAGCGGCGGACGGGUGAGUAAUGCCUAGGAAUCUGCCUGGUAGUGGGGGAUAACGUCCGGAAACGGGCGCUAAUACCGCAUACGUCCUGAGGGAGCAAGUGGGGGAUCUUCGGACCUCACGCUAUCAGAUGAGCCUAGGUCGGAUUAGCUAGUUGGUGGGGUAAAGGCCUACCAAGGCGACGAUCCGUAACUGGUCUGAGAGGAUGAUCAGUCACACUGGAACUGAGACACGGUCCAGACUCCUACGGGAGGCAGCAGUGGGGAAUGUGGGGCAAUGGGCGAAAGCCUGAUCCAGCCAUGCCGCGUGUGUGAAGAAGGUCUUCGGAUUGUAAAGCACUUUAAGUUGGGAGGAAGGGCAGUAAGUUAAUACCUUGCUGUUUUGACGUUACCAACAGAAUAAGCACCGGCUAACUUCGUG
Molecule: ribosomal RNA, 484 nt
Filed under: uncultured bacterium
Lineage: Bacteria
Description: partial 16S ribosomal RNA
Rfam family: Bacterial small subunit ribosomal RNA
Source: RNAcentral